Molecule: ribosomal RNA, 253 nt
Filed under: uncultured bacterium
Lineage: Bacteria
Description: partial 16S ribosomal RNA
Rfam family: Bacterial small subunit ribosomal RNA
Source: RNAcentral
UACGGAGGGUGCAAGCGUUGUCCGGAAUCACUGGGCGUAAAGCGCACGUAGGCGGAUUGUUAAGUCAGGGGUGAAAUCCCGAGGCUCAACCUCGGAACUGCCUUUGAUACUGGCAAUCUCGAGUCCGGAAGAGGUGAGUGGAAUUCCUAGUGUAGAGGUGAAAUUCGUAGAUAUUAGGAAGAACACCAGUGGCGAAGGCGGCUCACUGGUCCGGUACUGACGCUGAGGCACGAAAGCGUGGGGAGCAAACAGG